Molecule: ribosomal RNA, 552 nt
Filed under: Triticum aestivum (bread wheat)
Lineage: Eukaryota; Viridiplantae; Streptophyta; Magnoliopsida; Poales; Poaceae
Description: partial small subunit ribosomal RNA
Source: RNAcentral
AUGGUGAAAUCCAAAGAUGAUCGGUACUCUUCCGGUGAUCGGAGCGGCCGCGGCGGCAUCACGGCGUCGGCCAUCGUCGCCCCAGCCGUCUCCGGGUCGCACGUUCUCAAGAUCGAAGGCUACUCCCGAACCAAAGGGCUCGGCAACGGCAAUUGCAUCGUAUCCAGGACAUUCGCAGUCGGUGGUCAUAGGUGGUAUAUCCAAUACUUCCCUGAUGGCAGCGGCACUGACGCUGCCGAUUGGAUAUCCAUCUUCAUCUGCCUCCAUGACGAUGAUACCAGUGAAGUCAAAGCAUCAUACAAGAUUAAUCUGCUCGAUCAAGGCGGGAAUCCGGUCCCGUCGUACUGCUUUGCCAGGUCGACUAAAACCUUCUCCAGAAGAAUGCCAUGGGGUUGCAGAGCAUUCAUCAAGAGAAGGGACUUAGAGGAAUCAGCUUACCUCAGGAAUGAUGUUUUCAGCGUCAGGUGUGAUCUCACUGUGAACACGGGCAUCUUCACCAAGCACCUUGUCCCGGUUACCACCCUUCUUAGGGUCAAAAAAGAAAGAUUGUAG